GAUUCAGAGCAGACUUCUACGAAGUUCUCCCCACCAUGGACUGGGUUCCCUUCUACAUCCUGCCCUUCAUUUUCUCUACAGGUUUCUGUGCUCUGCCUGUGCUGACUCAGCCUCCAUCGGCAAAUGCCUCUCUGGAAGCCUCAGUCAAGCUUACAUGCACCCUGAGCAGGGAGCACAGCAAUUACUUUGUUCACUGGUAUCAACAGGAACCAGGGAAGGCCCCUCGGUAUUUGAUGAAGGUUAAUAGUGACGGAAGCCACAGCAAGGGGGACGGGAUCCCCAGUCGCUUCUCAGGAUCCAGCUCUGGGGUUGACCGCUAUUUAACUAUCUCCAACAUCCAGUUGGAGGAUGAAGCUGAGUACUACUGCGGUGAGAGCCAUACAAUCGAUGGCCAACACGGUUAA
Enhydra lutris kenyoni (northern sea otter) is the source of this 404-nucleotide non-coding RNA. Lineage: Eukaryota; Metazoa; Chordata; Mammalia; Carnivora; Mustelidae. The record is from the annotation of a RefSeq genome assembly.